This is a non-coding RNA of Vicia faba (fava bean), 198 nucleotides long. The record is from the annotation of a GenBank genome assembly. NCBI's taxonomy places the organism in Eukaryota, Viridiplantae, Streptophyta, Magnoliopsida, Fabales, Fabaceae.
AUGAAUCUACUACAUUUUGGCCCCAAACUUUGGUUUCAGGACGAAUUACUUAUAAUCUGCAGGCAAAACUACCUGAAAGUAGCCAGAUGUUAUUAUGAAGGUCAAUCCACUGAUCCGCAUUUGUACUCAGCGCUACUUGUUCGCAGAUAUGAUUAUCCAGAAUUCUCUAGCUCGCCAACCUACGUAAAUCGCUACUAG